UGGGGAAUAUUGCACAAUGGGCGAAAGCCUGAUCCAGCAACGCCGCGUGAGGGAUGACGGCCUUCGGGUUGUAAACCUCUUUCAGCGGGGACGAAGCGAAAGUGACGGUACCCGCAGAAGAAGCACCGGCCAACUACGUGCCAGCAGCCGCGGUAAUACGUAGGGUGCGAGCGUUGUCCGGAAUUAUUGGGCGUAAAGGGCUCGUAGGCGGUUUGUCGCGUCGGGAGUGAAAACACCGGGCUUAACUCGGUGCUUGCUUUCGAUACGGGCAGACUGGAGUACUGCAGGGGAGACUGGAAUUCCUGGUGUAGCGGUGGAAUGCGCAGAUAUCAGGAGGAACACCGGUGGCGAAGGCGGUUCUCUGGGCAUUACCUGACGCUGAGGAGCGAAAGUGUGGGGAGCGAACAGGAUUAGAUACCC
RNAcentral lists this ribosomal RNA (420 nucleotides) under uncultured bacterium. Its description in RNAcentral is "bacterial SSU rRNA". It matches the Rfam family "Bacterial small subunit ribosomal RNA", at positions 355 to 787 of the family's 1533-position model. The record is from RNAcentral.